GACGAACGCUGGCGGCGUGCUUAACACAUGCAAGUCGAACGGAAAGGCCCUGCUUUUGUGGGGUGCUCGAGUGGCGAACGGGUGAGUAACACGUGAGUAACCUGCCCUUGACUUUGGGAUAACUUCAGGAAACUGGGGCUAAUACCGGAUAGGAGCUCCUGCUGCAUGGUGGGGGUUGGAAAGUUUCGGCGGUUGGGGAUGGACUCGCGGCUUAUCAGCUUGUUGGUGGGGUAGUGGCUUACCAAGGCUUUGACGGGUAGCCGGCCUGAGAGGGUGACCGGCCACAUUGGGACUGAGAUACGGCGCAGACUCCUACGGGAGGCAGCAGUGGGGAAUAUUGCACAAUGGGCGGAAGCCUGAUGCAGCAACGCCGCGUGCGGGAUGACGGCCUUCGGGUUGUAAACCGCUUUCGCCUGUGACGAAGCGUGAGUGACGGUCAUGGGUAAAGAAGCACCGGCUAACUACG
RNAcentral lists this ribosomal RNA (466 nucleotides) under uncultured bacterium. RNAcentral describes it as "partial 16S ribosomal RNA". It matches the Rfam family "Bacterial small subunit ribosomal RNA", at positions 28 to 505 of the family's 1533-position model. The record is from RNAcentral.